RNAcentral lists this ribosomal RNA (514 nucleotides) under Eurynogaster cilifemorata. RNAcentral describes it as "partial 16S ribosomal RNA". It matches the Rfam family "Bacterial large subunit ribosomal RNA", at positions 1894 to 2596 of the family's 2925-position model. The record is from RNAcentral. Lineage: Eukaryota; Metazoa; Arthropoda; Insecta; Diptera; Dolichopodidae.
CAUGUCUUUUUGAAUUUAAUUWAAAGKCUAAUCUGCCCACUGAUAUAUUAUUAAAUGGCCGCAGUAUUUUAACUGUGCAAAGGUAGCAUAAUCAAUAGUUUUUUAAUUGAAGACUUGUAUGAAUGAUUGCACGAGACAUAAGCUGUCUUAAAGAAAGUAUUUUGAAUUUUAUUAUUUAGUUAAAAAGCUAAACUAAUUUUAAAAGACGAGAAGACCCUAUAGAUCUUUAUAGAAACAAUAUUUAUUUUUUAAGGUAUGGUUAUUUAGAUUAAUAUUAGUUUUUAUUUUAUUGGGGUGAUAUUGAAAUUUAAUUAACUUUCAAUUUUUAAAUACAUUAGUUUAUGAAUAAUUGAUCCUUUAUUAUUGAUUAAAAAUUUAAGUUACCUUAGGGAUAACAGCGUAAUUAUUUUGGAGAGUUCUUAUCGAUAAAAUAGAUUGCGACCUCGAUGUUGGAUUAAGAUUAAUUCUAGGCGUAGCAGUUUAGAAUAUUAAGUCUGUUCGACUUUUAAUUUCU